UGAGUUUUGGAGAUCUGAGAGGUGAAGACCCAGAGUUGGCUGAGCAAAAGUGUUGCAAAGAAGUUGUUAAGAUAGGCUGCAGCAAAUGUGUUCACGCUGGAGGACUGUUAUACUUGUGCCAGUUUAUAGAUUGUGACGAUAAAGAUGCCACGUGUACCUCUGGAACAUGGUUCAAUACAGAAAAUGAGAAGAAUUGCAAUGAGUGCUUCUGUUUAGACGGCACCGCGUCCUUUUGUUAUCCUUAUUUAUGUUAUGGACAAAAACAAAAAUCUCAUGAAUUGGUCAGACUGCAUGGAGUUGGUAAUGACAAGAGCAUUGAGACAUGCACACCGGGACAUGAGUUUAUACAAGGCGUGCCAUCCCGGUGCGAGGGAUGUAAAUGCAAAGAUAACGGUCGAUGGACCUGCUGGCAUGAAUACAAAAGUUGUUCUGAAAUUGUGCCUGGAUUACUGCCGCAAACAU
Molecule: long non-coding RNA, 462 nt
Organism: Papilio machaon (common yellow swallowtail)
Lineage: Eukaryota; Metazoa; Arthropoda; Insecta; Lepidoptera; Papilionidae
Exons: 6
Source: RefSeq, a predicted model, not a curated record